Rosa rugosa (rugosa rose) is the source of this 540-nucleotide long non-coding RNA. RefSeq lists it as uncharacterized. NCBI's taxonomy places the organism in Eukaryota, Viridiplantae, Streptophyta, Magnoliopsida, Rosales, Rosaceae. The record is from RefSeq and is a predicted model, not a curated record. The transcript has 3 exons.
UUUUUUUAUCUAUCAUAAUUAAAUUGUUAAUUCGUCAUCGUCAUCAUCACCUUAGCUCUUCAAUUUCCGACGAAAUGGAGCUGAAACCAGGUCUCUCAGCUCUCGUCACCGGCGGAGCUUCUGGAAUUGGAUGUCACGAUGAAGAUUAUGACAUUCUCUCAACAAGGAUCUCAUGCUAUUUGCAUACUUUCUGCAAAUGGUACCAUAUCAAAUGUCACACUUCGACAGCCCAGUACUUCUGGAGGUACUUUUAACAUACGAGGGCCGAUUUGAGAUACUUUCAUUGUCUGGAUCAUAUAUGCCAACUGAGAAUGAAGGAACAAAGAGCAGGUCAGGUGGCAUGAGCGUCUCUUUGGCAGGUUCAGAUGGUAGAGUUGUUAGACUGGCUGGUCUAUUGAUAGCUGCAGGACCUGUGUAGCUAACAUGGUUUCUUAGGAAGAAAAAACAAAAGAAGAUAGUCAUUAUAUUAUUCUAAUGAUUAGUUCGAAGGAGUAGAAUGUCACCUUCCUUUCCCUUUGACAUCUCUCUGUAACAGUUUAG